UGCUUUUUCUGAUUGAUUGAGGUGAUCAUAUAGUUUUUCCCCCUUAUCAUUCUUUUAAUGUAGUGUAUUACAUUAAUUGAUUUUCUUAUGUUGAACUCUCCUCGCAUUCCAGGAAUAAAUUCUAAUUGGUCAUGGUGUAUAAUCCUUUUGAUAUGCCGUUGAAUUAUGUUUGCUAGUGUUUCAUUAAGGAUUUUUGCAUCCAUAUUCAUAAAGAAUAUUGGUCUGUAGUUUUCUUUUCUUGUGUUUUUAUUGACUUCAAUACCAAGGCAAUGCUGGCCUCAUAGAAUGAGAUUGAAAAUGUUCCUUUCUCUUCAGUGUCUUGGAAGGGUUUGAGAUGAAUCGGUGUCAGUUCUUUAAAAGUUUGGUGAAAUUAACCUGUGAAUUUUUAGGCCCAGGGCAUUUGUCGGGAGGAUUUUGAUUACUGAUUUAAUCUCUUUACUACUUACAGAUCUGUUCAGAUUUUCUCUUUCAUUAUGAUUCAUUUCUGGUAGAUUGUGUGUUUCUGGGAAUUUGUUCAUUUCAUCAGGGUUAUCUGAUUUGCCGACAUAUGAUUGUUCAUAGUACAUUUGUUCUCUUAUAAUCCUCUUUAUUUCUAUAGACUUGGUAGUAAUGCCCCUACUUAUAUUUCAUAUUUUAGUAAUUUGAGUCUUCUCUCUUUUUUAGUCAAUUUAAUUUCUCAACUUUGUUAAUCUUUUUAAAAGUCAGCUUUUGGUUUCAUUGAUUUUUCUCUAUUGUUUUUCUGUUCUUGAUUUUAUCUUUGCUAUAACUUUUAUUUAUUUCCUUUCUUCUGCUACCAUUUGAUUUAGUUUUUUUUUCUUUCUCUAGUUGCUUGAGUUGUAAAGGUAGAUUGUUAAUUUGAUAUUUUCCUUGAUUUUAGUGUAAGUGUUCAGAGUACAAAAUUUUCUCUUAUUGGGAUGCUUUUGUUGCAUCCCAUAGAUUUUAGUAUGUUAUAUUUUCAUUUUUGUCAUCUCUAAGUAUUUUUAUUUUUUAAUUAAUUUUUUUUAACAUUUUAAAAAUUAUAGUUGAGUUACAGUGUUGUGCCAAUUUUUGCUGUACAGUAAAGUGACCCAGUCAUACAUACAUAUACAUUCUUUUUUUUUUUUUUUNUUGCCUUUUUAGGACCACACCCACAGCAUGUGGAAGUUCACAGGCUAAGGAUCGAAUCGGAGCUACAACUGCAGACCUACACCACAGCCACAGCAAUGCUGGAUCCUUGCCGCAUCUGCAGCCUACACCACAGCUCAUGGCAGCACUGGAUCUUUUAACCCACUGAGAGAGGCCAGGGGAUCAAAUCCAAGUCCUUAUGGAUACUAGAUGGGUUUGUUGCCACUGAGCCACAAUGGGAACUCCACAUUACUUUUUUUAUAUUGUCUUCCAGGAGAUUGGAUAUAGUUCCCUGUGGUAUACAGCAGGACCGCAUUGCUUAUCCAUUCUAAAUGUAAUAAUUUUGCAUUUACUAACCCCAGACUCCCAGUCCACUCCAGUCCUUCCCUUGGCAACCACAAGUUUGUUCUGUAUGUCUGGGAGUCUCUUUCAAAAAUACGGAAUGCUUCACGAAUUUGCAUAUCAUCCUUGUGCAGAGGCCAGACUAAUCUCUGUAUUGUUCCAAUUUCAGUAUAUGUGCUGCUCAUCUCUAAGUAUUUUAAAAUUUCCAUUACAAUUUCUUCUUUGAUCCAUGGCAUCUUUAAGUAUCUAUUGUUUAAUUUGCCACAAAUUUGUGUAUUUUCAGAUUUCCCUUCGGUUAUUGAUUUCUAACUUCAUUCUGUUAUGGUCAGAGGGGAUACUUUGUAUAAUAUCUGUCUUUUAAAAAUCUAUCAAUAUUUGAUUUGUGGCCUCAUGUAUGAUCUCUCCUAGAGAAUGUCCCAUGUGUACUUGAGAAGAAUUUGUAUUCUACUGUUGUCGGGUGGAGUGUUCUGUAUAUGUCUCUUAGAUCUAGUUUUCUUUUGGUUUGUUUCACAAUAUAGUGAUCAUACUACAUAUACACACAAGUGGUGUGUGUGGUGUGUGUGUGUGUAUGUGUGUGUAUGUUACAUGUAUGAACAUAAAGGAAAGUAUGGAAAGCUACCUUGGUUAUCUCGUGGAAAUAACACCAGAUGAGAGGGAGGGGUGAGAUUAUUAACUCCAUUUCAGAAGUGUGUUCCUAGCCAAAGUGCUAGUGAAACUGAGGGACUCUAGAUUGGGUUGUAUAUGCUGACUAUCUUAAUCAUGGCCUUAGGACCAAAUGAAUAGUGAGGACUAGUUUUUUCCACUAAUUCUCUACACAGAGCCCUUGCAAAAAUUGUGAUUUGCCACUACCUGGAAGAAGGCUCCGUGAUGAACUGGACUUAGGAGGACCUGAGUGGCUCUAGUGAACACUAGACACUUCUGGUGCAACAUUGGAGAAUCCUUUUAACCCCAUCUCCUUUUUCAAUUGUGGCUGUGGUGACAGUUCAUGCAAACUUUGACAGGCUUUGUGCAGAUCAGAGAGUGCUUCCCUGGCUGCUUGUGCUUUAUGACUUGUGACUCCUCUGAGGCUCACAGGCUUACCUUGGCAGGAACCUACUGAGUGGUCAUGCAUGUGCAACUAGGAAUUUGGAGGGACUAAGGACCCAUGAGGCCACUUUUCAUGAAUGGGGAAUAGUAGCCAAUACAUAAAUGCUUCUCUUCUGACCCAUGGGGAGAUAGUUCUGAUUAUAGGUCAAAAGUGUCAAAAAAGUAUCAAUCAGGAAAAAACUCUGGAGUUCCCAUCGUGGCUCAGUAGUUAACAAAUCCGACUAGGAACCAUGAGGUUGUGGGUUCGAUCCCUGGCCUCACUCAGUGGGUUAAGGAUCUGACGUUGCCAUGAGCUGUGGUUUAGGUCGCAGACGCAGCUCGGAUCUGGUGUUGCUGUGGCUGUGGCA
RNAcentral lists this long non-coding RNA (2879 nucleotides) under Sus scrofa (pig). RNAcentral's name for it is "lncRNA (ENSSSCG00060076223.1)". Lineage: Eukaryota; Metazoa; Chordata; Mammalia; Artiodactyla; Suidae. The record is from RNAcentral.